ACGUGGGAGGCAAGCGUUAUCCGGAGUUACUGGGCGUAAAGGGCGUGCAGGCGGCUCUAUAAGACAGAUGUGAAAUCCCCGGGCUUAACCUGGGAACUGCGUUUGUGACUGUAGGGCUUGAGUGCGGCAGAGGGGGGUGGAAUUCCGCGUGUAGCAGUGAAAUGCGUAGAUAUGCGGAGGAACACCGAUGGCGAAGGCAAUCCCCUGGGUCGACACUGACGCUCAUGCACGAAAGCGUGGGGAGCAAACAG
This 251-nucleotide ribosomal RNA is filed under the name uncultured prokaryote. RNAcentral's name for it is "partial 16S ribosomal RNA". It matches the Rfam family "Bacterial small subunit ribosomal RNA", at positions 525 to 775 of the family's 1533-position model. The record is from RNAcentral.